UUUUUUUUUUGUGUACUAAGGUACACUGGCAUGCCGGCAUUUUUCUUUUCCCCGGCGCAUGAGAGAAAUCAAACUCCCGCUCUUUCCCAUCUCAGGAAGUGCAUUAAUAGAUUUUUCUCGUGUCAAACAUUGGUUCCUAGAAUGCCACAGCACAUUCUCUCUUCCAGCGCACAUCUAAAUGAGUUCUAGUUAUUGCAUAUUUAAGUGGGUGAAUCAAGCAUAGAGAUAUAAGGAAAAAAAUAUUCACACGAAUUACAACACAAGAUCAAUGACAUAGAAAUUAGAUGUGCAAUACUACUUUAGCAAAACUGAUUUCCUAUACACAUGGAGCCGGUGGAAUAAGAUACACGUCGAGGGAAGAGCGGUCGCGUCGACGCCACACCUGAGCCGUCGAUUACUCGAUUUUUGGCGCAGACACACGCAGUAUGCCAUGCGCUCGCACUUCGUCCGUCAUGCAUCUACCUCCACUGCCAAGGAUCGCAGCGACUAGUCACUUCGUUCUACAGAUGGUUGUCUAAAGCAAGCAUAUGCAACGAUCGUUGUGGGAUGCAAGGAUAAUAAUUUGAAAUCAACUUUGUGAAAAUAUAACGUUGCAUAAUGGAAUCCGUGGAGCACUUGUAAGUCCAGUUAAAUAGUCAGUUUCGUGAUUGCUUAACAGCACGUUCUUCAAUAAUUCCAGCCUGCAUAGCCAAGAAAGGGGGAUGGAUCUUGGUAGAUAUCAUUCGUACAGCACGACAAGAAAUACCAAAUUUCCUAAAGCACGAUGUAAAAAACCUAUAACGUUUACCUAACCUAUCACCAUGGAUCCUUCAGGCAAAACAAAUAAACGGUACGAUUAGAAGGAGGAGCUACAAAUUUGGUAGUAAGCUUAAAGUUGAGUUCCUUUCAAUUUCUUCAGCCAUAGAAACCGGACAAGAUCAAGCAGCCUUACAUCUGAGUUUAAACACCCGAAAAUUUGUUUGCCAUAUUCACAGCCAUGGGAUGAAAGCAACUAAUCCGACCACCAAACUAAAUUUUCCUAAUACCAAGCCAUCCGGGACUCUCCUGAAAACCAAGACACUAAAUCCUACGAGUACGAACAAGAAACUCCUUCGUCUUUUGUGAUGCAAAUUUAAUCCAUGGUGCAGGCGGUGGCAGCGAGGAACAG
This 1147-nucleotide long non-coding RNA is filed under the name Triticum aestivum (bread wheat). RNAcentral's name for it is "long non-coding RNA (TAES_LNC022270)". The record is from RNAcentral. Lineage: Eukaryota; Viridiplantae; Streptophyta; Magnoliopsida; Poales; Poaceae.